AUGUCUGAUUCAACGCCUCAUACGGCAAGUACGUCCAGUACGUCCAGUACGUUAAGUACAACCUCGGUCAACCUCGCUAAGGCUAUAGAGAUGCAGAUCCAAGCAUACCGGAGCGGGGACGUCUCCCUCGGGGAUUCUCUAUCGCCAACGAUCGACCUCCUUCUGGAAGCCGCAACGGAGCGGGCCAGAGCGCUGAAACGGACUAACUCAUCGGCGACUAGUAGUGACGCAAACACGAUGCCUGGAACUUCAUCCGCGACCGACGGGUCCCCCGUAGCGGCAUCGACGCCGAAAAAGGCGAGGCUCCAGGAGGAGCAGAAGACGUUGCCCGAGAAGUUGCCCGAGAAGUUGCCCGAGUCCGACAGUGAGAAGUUGCCAGAGUCCGACGGGGAGGAAGUCGCCAAGUCGGACGUCCAAGAAGCAAAGGAAAACGCAGCCGAGGAGGCGGUAAGAGUGCGGACGCAUGAUUACGUCGGUCUUUACCCUCAACUAGGGAAGGAGACAGCGAGGAGGCUCGGACUCGAGGUAGAGGAAGUGCAUCACCACGACUACGCGAACCAUCCGGCAGGGCGCCACGCGGUCGCGGUCGCGGCCGUGGUGGUCUUCAUCAGAAGGCCGGAGGAUGAGCCUCUCACAUUGCCAACGCGCGAGGAGACAACACUCCUGAUGAUAAGGAACAUCCGGACAGGGACGGAGGUGUUCUCCGGGAGACGGAUCCCAACCCGAGUGGACUGCCAAACCCCUUACACGGUGUACGACAUCGCGGGCGUCAGUCUGAACGAAGAAGUCGCGGGCGUUGUGUCGAACGUGAACCGGUGCAUCCGUAGAGCAAAGAGGAUGCGGGCCCUCCGGAUGGCUGUCUCCCCGGCGUAUGUAAACGGGGAUGACUCUGAAUUCUUUUUGAAGCAAGUCCAGCGGAUGUUGAGGGUAAUGGACACGUGCGGAGACCGUGCAAUUCUUCACCUCAGCGUAGAGGGGAUGGACGGAGACGUCGUUCCGGAUCUGCGAACAUCAUGUGUGUCAACAUGGGCGCCGGACGACUCGUUGGAAGCCGCGAUGGCGGAAAUGUCGUUCGAGGACGGAAAUGUGCCGCCGAACGAUGAGGUAGCCGUAGCUUCCACAUCGAAUGAGGACCACGCCGACGGAAAUCCGCCGCCGAACGAUGAGGUAGCCGUAGCUUCCACAUCGAAUGAGGACCACGCCGACGGAAGUCUGCCGCCGGAUGAUGGGGGAGCCGCAGCUUCGACACCGGAGAACGAGACCGCCGACGGAAAUCCACCGCCGAAUGAUGAGGGAGCCGUAGCUUCUAAUUCGAAGGCAAGUAAAGUAUCGUCAGCGUAA
This 1341-nucleotide long non-coding RNA is filed under the name Bemisia tabaci. RNAcentral's name for it is "lncRNA ENSASIAIIG002419". Lineage: Eukaryota; Metazoa; Arthropoda; Insecta; Hemiptera; Aleyrodidae. The record is from RNAcentral.